Long non-coding RNA from Acanthochromis polyacanthus (spiny chromis), 986 nucleotides. RefSeq lists it as uncharacterized. The transcript is spliced from 3 exons. NCBI's taxonomy places the organism in Eukaryota, Metazoa, Chordata, Actinopteri, Pomacentridae. The record is from RefSeq and is a predicted model, not a curated record.
UGCAGGUGCAUUAUCAAUAAAAGAUCGCGAAAAAUACUUUAAAAAGAUCACUUUAACAAAUGGCAAGAGGCUCCCAGAUCCCUGUACACUUACCGAACGGGACUAUGACGUUAGGAGGUACAGGAGUUAAUUCAGAGCUGAUAAUAAUCCUGUUCAGCCUCUAAACGGAGCCACUAAAUGAUUCCUGUCUGUGUGUUUGUGUCAACAAACCGGACUGAAACGUUCUGCAGUCGGCUGUUUACGCUGCUGGUUUCCAUGGCGACGCAGGAACCAGGCGGUGAGUCAGUGGAACACGCUGACAGAACGUUAAGAAAAUUUUAACGUUUAAUCAAGGUAGUGUCUACAGAUACGGACCCGUACCCGUAGCCUGUGGCCUACGGAUACGGCACUUUCCCUUUCAACUCGGAGUAGUUUGACCCGGAGUUAAGCGCGUGCAACGCAACUCUGAAAAGACAGCAUCAAUGGAGCCCCGAUUCGACGAGUCACCAUGGCAACGGGGAAGUGAAAGGCUGCGUUUUUGAACUGGAAGUUUUUAACGCGCUCAUAUGGCGAGUUUGAACACGUUUUUAGAAAGAAGUGCAACACCGCUGCAGCUGCAAAAGAGAGAGAGACGGCGUGGAGAACAGCCCGGAUCAAUGCAGCAUGGCUGGACAGCAGCAGGAUGGUUCCUCAGCUUCCACUGCACAGACUGACACAGUGAGAUGGAUGUUCAGGAAACACCAGAGCUUCAUUCUGUGGAAUUCAUGUGCAACUGUAUAACUGAAUGUCCUCUAUGUAUUCCCAGUUAUCAGUAAAACGGAUUUACAAACUGCAUUUGCUGAGAAAAAUUAAAAUGAAAAAAAAAAACAGAUAGGAGGGCAGAUCUGGAAAUUGAAAUACUGGAGCACAAGUUAGAGGUGGUGAUGGUCACAGGUGAAUUAUGUUAACUACUGGAACAUUAACUGAACUAUCUUUUAUUUGUAGGGAAUAAAGCAGACCAAAUGAAA